GAUGAAGAACGUAGCGAAAUGCGAUAAGUAAUGUGAAUUGCAGAAUUCCGUGAAUCAUCGAAUCUUUGAACGCACAUUGCGCCCCCUGGUAUUCCGGGGGGGCAUGCCUGUCCGAGCGUCAUUGCAACCUUCAAGCGCGGCUUGUGUGUUGGGUCUCGUCCCCCGUGGACGGGCCCGAAAGGCAGUGGCGGCGUCCCGACAUGGUGCCCGAGCGUAUGGGAAUCCUCUUCCGCUCGAAUCGGCCCAUGCGGCGCUGGUCGUAACCAAAAUUUUUACCGGUUGACCUCGGAUCAGGUAGGGAUACCCGCUGAACUUAAGCAUAUCAAUAAGCGGAGGA
Molecule: unclassified non-coding RNA, 337 nt
Filed under: soil metagenome
Description: partial contains 5.8S ribosomal RNA, internal transcribed spacer 2, and large subunit ribosomal RNA
Rfam family: 5.8S ribosomal RNA (bases 1-121)
Source: RNAcentral